This 468-nucleotide ribosomal RNA is filed under the name uncultured bacterium. RNAcentral describes it as "partial 16S ribosomal RNA". It matches the Rfam family "Bacterial small subunit ribosomal RNA", at positions 28 to 507 of the family's 1533-position model. The record is from RNAcentral.
GACGAACGCUGGCGGCGUGCUUAACACAUGCAAGUCGAACGGAAAGGCCCUGCUUUUGUGGGGUGCUCGAGUGGCGAACGGGUGAGUAACACGUGAGUAACCUGCCCUUGACUUUGGGAUAACUUCAGGAAACUGGGGCUAAUACCGGAUAGGAGCUCCUGCUGCAUGGUGGGGGUUGGAAAGUUUCGGCGGUUGGGGAUGGACUCGCGGCUUAUCAGCUUGUUGGUGGGGUAGUGGCUUACCAAGGCUUUGACGGGUAGCCGGCCUGAGAGGGUGACCGGCCACAUUGGGACUGAGAAACGGCCCAGACUCCUACGGGAGGCAGCAGUGGGGAAUAUUGCGCAAUGGGCGGAAGCCUGAUGCAGCAACGCCGCGUGCGGAAUGACGGCCUUCGGGUUGUAAACCGCUUUCGCCUGUGACGAAGCGUGAGUGACGGUAAUGGGUAAAGAAGCACCGGCUAACUACGUG